UGCUAAAUUUACCAACUGUAAUUUUCUUGUGUCUGAGCAGAUAAGCUCAAAAGAGUUUUGGUUUUAUAAACAAUAAUUAAUUUGGUGUUAAGAGAUGAAAAUUUUUUUCUGGUUACGAACUGCCACAACAUAGAUUUUUACUUUUGUGUGGAAUGUCUGUUUUAUGAUAAAUUUUCCACUAAACAACAAAAAAGGAAAGCGCUUUCACCUGUCUUCCAUAUUCACCAACUGCACAAUUCUUCUUAAGUAAAAUGAGCGUGUUUUCUGGGAACGAAGAAGGCAAUGCAUCAUCGUUAGGACUAGUGGUGGAGACCAGCGGCACACAAUGUCUACCUCUACAGAGAGAGCCAACAUGAAGAUGAGGACAGACCAAGUGAUAAGGAAGAAUCACUUGCUCUGGAGGAAGGAUGAGGAGCAUCAGCGGCAGGAAAGAAAGAGUUACAACAUACUUGUCGAAUGGGGUGGUAGAAAGGAUGGAAGGCAGUUGAUGGAGCAGAGACCUGCAGAGGAUCUCAACCCUUGGACGACUGUUUCCACUGGGAUUUUCCAAAGAAGUGAAUUUGUGCCCAGAGGCCAUGACGAGAAUUGCCCCACUUCCUGAGAAUACAAACAAAUGAAAGGAGAGUGAGCUGCUUUUCAGUCUUCAAAUUGGGCUUUUGAAAAGCAGACGACUACAGAGGAGGUCAAAAAUGGAGUGUAAGGCCAGAAAGGAUCACAAAGCGUCUCACUAACACAUGCAGGGAGCUGGAAGGAGGGCACAGCAGUAUAACUUGAAAAACAUUGUUUCAAGCUGAGGAUUCGAGACACAUGCAUUAAUUAUUUAGUCAAUAAUGCACUUAACCUUGACGUACAUUGGUGUG
Long non-coding RNA from Gambusia affinis (western mosquitofish), 860 nucleotides. RefSeq lists it as uncharacterized. Lineage: Eukaryota; Metazoa; Chordata; Actinopteri; Cyprinodontiformes; Poeciliidae. The transcript is spliced from 5 exons. The record is from RefSeq and is a predicted model, not a curated record.